UUCCUUUCCCCACAGUGCUGUUUUGAUCUUGGGAAAGUUGUUGCAGCCCCCAUUCUGAAGGGUCAGGCUGCCUUAGGACUAGCGAAUGACUAGGGCCAUUAGCGACACAGACAUCAACAUGAUGGAAGGCAAAUGGCGUUUAUUGCAACUACACAGCAGCUUAUAUAGCCUACGUGCUUCGUCUACGCCCCUAAAGCAUGCGUCAUAAAUCCACCACAGAGCAGGGGAGGUCCUGACACGUCACAUCCUGAUAACCCCACUUUACGCCUGCUACAACAGGGAAGUCCCCUUCUUCUCUUGCACAGUUUCAUCCCUGCUGGAUGAGGAUGAUGAAGAUUCAUGCGCUGUUUCUCCUUGAAGGACUCUGGAAGGGCAGUGUUAGCUAUGUGCAGAGUUGUGGUGCCGCCGUGUUCUGCAGGACUUCCUUCUUUCGCUCUGAGUUCUCUCCAGUCGGGCCUGUUUUUGGGAUGCUGUGUAUUCACAGGCUUGUGUCCCAGGAAAGGUGCAUGGAAGAGAUGGUGGCAGAGGAAGCCCAGCACAGCCAGCUCCUCACUGCAGUUCUGUAUGGGGAGAAGUGCUGUGCCUGGCUCGACUGCAUGACAAGCUUGGCUUCGGCUGGUUUUCAGAGGAAAAUGCAAGUACUUGUGCUAAUGGAAAAAGUCCUAGAUGCCAGCAAAAAUGCUUGAACAUCAGCUGUGUUUGAUGGGUCUCCAUUCAGCGAUGGCUUUUUGCCUGCUUAAUUAUUUUCUAAGUUCUUUAAGCCAUGAGAUCUGCUCUGUGCUGUUCUCCCACCAGUCAAAUUACCCUAUUUCCUUCAGAACUCUCCCUCACUCAGGAGCUGGCACUUUGCUGCUAGUUUUACCUCUCCUUAACAUUGUAGCCCGUCCCUGUUCUGUUGGCCUGCAUACCAGUCGAUGUCCCUUUUAUGUCAGUGCUGUUCUUAACACUGGAAAUUGCAUUUUCCCCCUUCUGGUCAGGAUGUGAUACAGAAGCAGAAGCUGACUGACAGCUGAUUUUUCUGCAGGUUUUCUGCAGCGCUCAUGCAAAUGGUGUACGGCUGUUCAGCAAAAUAAGACGACUUUUUCACGUUCCUUUGGCUUUUACCCAUGACCAUUUUUUUUCUGCUUGUUGGCAGAACGGUGAGGAUGGGAUUGCAUGAUGGGAUUAUGAGUAUUUCUAAACUAAAGGCCCUGACAGAUCCUUGGCACUUAAAGCUGUUAUGAUGCCUUAUCAGAUGGAUCAGAAAUGCAGACUGGACUAUCUCACUGGCUGAUUCAUUGGCCGAACGCUGACAUUUCAAACCCACAAGCUCGU
Long non-coding RNA from Lagopus leucura (white-tailed ptarmigan), 1314 nucleotides. RefSeq lists it as uncharacterized. The record is from RefSeq and is a predicted model, not a curated record. The transcript is spliced from 3 exons. Lineage: Eukaryota; Metazoa; Chordata; Aves; Galliformes; Phasianidae.